AGCGAACGCUGGCGGCAGGCUUAACACAUGCAAGUCGAGCGGGCAUCUUCGGAUGUCAGCGGCAGACGGGUGAGUAACACGUGGGAACGUACCCUUCGGUUCGGAACAACUCUGGGAAACUGGAGCUAAUACCGGAUACGCCCUUAUGGGGAAAGGUUUACUGCCGAAGGAUCGGCCCGCGUCUGAUUAGCUAGUUGGUGGGGUAACGGCCUACCAAGGCGACGCUCAGUAGCUGGUCUGAGAGGAUGAUCAGCCACACUGGGACUGAGACACGGCCCAGACUCCUACGGGAGGCAGCAGUGGGGAAUAUUGGACAAUGGGCGCAAGCCUGAUCCAGCCGUGCCGCGUGAGUGAUGAAGGCCUUAGGGUUGUAAAGCUCUUUUGUCCGGGACGAUAAUGACGGUACCGGAAGAAUAAGCCCCGGCUAACUUCGUG
RNAcentral lists this ribosomal RNA (435 nucleotides) under uncultured bacterium. Its description in RNAcentral is "partial 16S ribosomal RNA". It matches the Rfam family "Bacterial small subunit ribosomal RNA", at positions 29 to 507 of the family's 1533-position model. The record is from RNAcentral.